Long non-coding RNA from Cervus elaphus (red deer), 755 nucleotides. RefSeq lists it as uncharacterized. Lineage: Eukaryota; Metazoa; Chordata; Mammalia; Artiodactyla; Cervidae. The transcript has 3 exons. The record is from RefSeq and is a predicted model, not a curated record.
UCUGCCUCACGUAUCUUCAGUAUCCUGUAUCUGCAUCUGGACGGACAGUCUGUUGUUUUCUGCUUUGUAGCAGUUUGUGCAGUCACCAGGGGAACGUGUGCUGUGUGCUGUUCCGCUGCUGGGGUUUUUGUCCUGUAAAUAUAUGCUGGGGGCUGAGGGUGGUGAUGUGUCUUGAGUGUAAACCACCCACAAAAACAUGCCAUGGAAUCAGCCUGUAGAACCUUGGGAAGGCCAAAUGGGCCUUGAGCCCAGAGAGAUGAAGAGUGUGGGAGAGUCUUUAUCCCUGGCCAUUAGAGCAUGGUCAGCUUUUCUACUUAAUAUCACAGUCUUCUCAGGAGUGUUGAGCAGAUGCGAUUCAUCCACUUUACAGGCCAGGACUUUGUUGGUAAGUGAUCUGUCUGAAAUCCUGUGCCCUCAUGGGACCCACCAUUGUUUCCAUUUCUCCAUGUUGCCUUUCUGAUUUGGAACAACCAGUUUCUCAUAUUACAUUUGCAUUUAAGAGUUUGAAUUUUGAAACUAAUUUAAGAAAUACAAUGCUUUGACCAUUAUCCUUAUUUAUAGAGUCUUGUAUCUAAUUAUAAUUUUUUAAAGCAAUGUUGCUGAUUCAGGGGAUAAAUAUUAUAAGCAAAAAAAAAAAAAAAAAAGACUGGAGGCCGUUAAACUGUGGGGGAAGAAAUGGUGGUUUUCAUUGUCAGAUUUUCUCAACCCCAUUGCAUGGACAUAUGGAACUGUGUGUGACAUUUUUACUCUAACCA